Molecule: unclassified non-coding RNA, 201 nt
Filed under: Hevea brasiliensis (rubber tree)
Lineage: Eukaryota; Viridiplantae; Streptophyta; Magnoliopsida; Malpighiales; Euphorbiaceae
Source: RNAcentral
GUGACUUACCUUUGUUAUCACCUUGAGGACCCAUUAACUUGCAAAGAUGACUCAAAAUACGUAUUUUGGGAUAGUUACCAUCCUACAGAGAAGGCUUAUGAGACCCUUAUCACUCUCGUCCUCAACAAUUUAAACAAUAUGUUCGGAUGAGGAGACCUACCUAUCUCUCUUUCCACAGUUAUCGUUAUUGAUAGUCCAAGA